GCCUCGGUGGCUCAGUCGGUUGAGCACCUGUCUUCAGCUCAGGUCGUGAUCUCACCGUUUGUGGGUUCAAGCCCCGCGUCAGGCU
RNAcentral lists this transfer RNA (85 nucleotides) under Felis catus (domestic cat). It matches the Rfam family "tRNA". Rfam says of the family: Transfer RNA (tRNA) molecules are approximately 80 nucleotides in length. Their secondary structure includes four short double-helical elements and three loops (D, anti-codon, and T loops). Further hydrogen bonds mediate the characteristic L-shaped molecular structure. tRNAs have two regions of fundamental functional importance: the anti-codon, which is responsible for specific mRNA codon recognition, and the 3' end, to which the tRNAs corresponding amino acid is attached (by aminoacyl-tRNA synthetases). tRNAs cope with the degeneracy of the genetic code in two manners: having more than one tRNA (with a specific anti-codon) for a particular amino acid; and 'wobble' base-pairing, i.e. permitting non-standard base-pairing at the 3rd anti-codon position. Lineage: Eukaryota; Metazoa; Chordata; Mammalia; Carnivora; Felidae. The record is from Rfam by way of RNAcentral.